This 425-nucleotide ribosomal RNA is filed under the name uncultured bacterium. RNAcentral describes it as "partial 16S ribosomal RNA". It matches the Rfam family "Bacterial small subunit ribosomal RNA", at positions 354 to 796 of the family's 1533-position model. The record is from RNAcentral.
GUGGGGAAUCUUGCGCAAUGGGCGAAAGCCUGACGCAGCCAUGCCGCGUGAAUGAUGAAGGUCUUAGGAUUGUAAAAUUCUUUCACCGGGGACGAUAAUUACGGUACCCGGAGAAGAAGCCCCGGCUAACUUCGUGCCAGCAGCCGCGGUAAUACGAAGGGGGCUAGCGUUGCUCGGAAUUACUGGGCGUAAAGGGCGCGUAGGCGGAUCGUUAAGUCAGGGGUGAAAUCCCAGAGCUCAACUCUGGAACUGCCCUUGAUACUGGCGAUCUUGAGUGUGAGAGAGGUAUGUGGAACUCCGAGUGUAGAGGUGAAAUUCGUAGAUAUUCGGAAGAACACCAGUGGCGAAGGCGACAUACUGGCUCAUUACUGACGCUGAGGCGCGAAAGCGUGGGGAGCAAACAGGAUUAGAUACCCCGGUAGUCC